RNAcentral lists this ribosomal RNA (472 nucleotides) under uncultured bacterium. RNAcentral describes it as "bacterial SSU rRNA". It matches the Rfam family "Bacterial small subunit ribosomal RNA", at positions 328 to 793 of the family's 1533-position model. The record is from RNAcentral.
CUCUGUGACUCCUACGGGAGGCAGCAGUGGGGAAUAUUGCACAAUGGGCGCAAGCCUGAUGCAGCCAUGCCGCGUGUAUGAAGAAGGCCUUCGGGUUGUAAAGUACUUUCAGCAGUGAGGAAGGUUCAUACGUUAAUAGCGUAUGGAUUUGACGUUAGCUGCAGAAGAAGCACCGGCUAACUCCGUGCCAGCAGCCGCGGUAAUACGGAGGGUGCGAGCGUUAAUCGGAAUUACUGGGCGUAAAGCGCAUGCAGGUGGUUUGUUAAGUCAGAUGUGAAAGCCCGGGGCUCAACCUCGGAAUUGCAUUUGAAACUGGCAGACUAGAGUACUGUAGAGGGGGUAGAAUUUCAGGUGUAGCGGUGAAAUGCGUAGAGAUCUGAAGGAAUACCGGUGGCGAAGGCGGCCCCCUGGACAGAUACUGACACUCAGAUGCGAAAGCGUGGGGAGCAAACAGGAUUAGAUACCCUGGUAG